UACGUAGGGUGCAAGCGUUGUCCGGAAUUAUUGGGCGUAAAGAGCUCGUAGGCGGUCUGUCGCGUCGGCUGUGAAAUCCCGGGGCUCAACCCCGGGCCUGCAGUCGAUACGGGCAGACUAGAGUGCGGUAGGGGAGACUGGAAUUCCUGGUGUAGCGGUGAAAUGCGCAGAUAUCAGGAGGAACACCGGUGGCGAAGGCGGGUCUCUGGGCCGUAACUGACGCUGAGGAGCGAAAGCGUGGGGAGCAAACAGG
RNAcentral lists this ribosomal RNA (253 nucleotides) under uncultured bacterium. Its description in RNAcentral is "partial 16S ribosomal RNA". It matches the Rfam family "Bacterial small subunit ribosomal RNA", at positions 524 to 776 of the family's 1533-position model. The record is from RNAcentral.